Molecule: non-coding RNA, 82 nt
Organism: Marasmius sp. AFHP31
Lineage: Eukaryota; Fungi; Basidiomycota; Agaricomycetes; Agaricales; Marasmiaceae
Source: the annotation of a GenBank genome assembly
GAUCCCUUAGCUCAGCGGUAGAGCAUCUGAUUCCAGUGUUGGGGUUUCCAGAAGGUCGUCCGUUCAAUCCGGGCAGGGAUCA